GUUAGUGAGCCAGGUUGAGAUUCUUGGUUUAUUCAGUAGUCAUUGUGGAGACAUCCAAGGGUUUUAGACUGGAGAGUGACAUCUCAAGGAUAUUGAGGAUGAGGUACUUACUUGUGGGACUUCUUGGGAGGCUGUCUGGGAGGACAAAGCAGAAGGGCUGGUGUGGAAGACAGAGGCUUUGGGGGAUUGUCAGCAGAGGUGAAGGCAGAAGCCACGUGGAACUGGUCACUCAGGGAGGGCCUGUGGCCUGAGACGAAACGGGUCAUUUUCCUGAGGGUGAGUCAGUAAAAAGACAACCUUUUGGAGCAGUUUGGCCUUGUAGGGGUGGAGACAGCUGAAAGGGGAGAAGGGAAGGACUUU
RNAcentral lists this long non-coding RNA (360 nucleotides) under Bos taurus (domestic cattle). Its description in RNAcentral is "long non-coding RNA NONBTAT015644". The record is from RNAcentral. Lineage: Eukaryota; Metazoa; Chordata; Mammalia; Artiodactyla; Bovidae.